This 278-nucleotide ribosomal RNA is filed under the name Streptomyces omiyaensis. RNAcentral's name for it is "partial 16S ribosomal RNA". It matches the Rfam family "Bacterial small subunit ribosomal RNA", at positions 557 to 835 of the family's 1533-position model. Lineage: Bacteria; Bacillati; Actinomycetota; Actinomycetes; Kitasatosporales; Streptomycetaceae. The record is from RNAcentral.
GGCGUAAGAGCUCGUAGGCGGCUUGUCACGUCGGGUGUGAAAGCCCGGGGCUUAACCCCGGGUCUGCAUCCGAUACGGGCAGGCUAGAGUGUGGUAGGGGAGAUCGGAAUUCCUGGUGUAGCGGUGAAAUGCGCAGAUAUCAGGAGGAACACCGGUGGCGAAGGCGGAUCUCUGGGCCAUUACUGACGCUGAGGAGCGAAAGCGUGGGGAGCGAACAGGAUUAAAUACCCUGGUAGUCCACGCCGAAAACGUUGGGAACUAGGUGUUGGUGACAUUCC